This 249-nucleotide ribosomal RNA is filed under the name uncultured bacterium. RNAcentral describes it as "partial 16S ribosomal RNA". It matches the Rfam family "Bacterial small subunit ribosomal RNA", at positions 523 to 769 of the family's 1533-position model. The record is from RNAcentral.
AUACAGAGGGUGCGAGCGUUAAUCGGAUUUACUGGGCGUAAAGCGUACGUAGGCGGCUUUUUAAGUCGGAUGUGAAAUCCCUGAGCUUAACUUAGGAAUUGCAUUCGAUACUGGGAAGCUAGAGUAUGGGAGAGGAUGGUAGAAUUCCAGGUGUAGCGGUGAAAUGCGUAGUUAGAUCUGGAGGAAUACCGAUGGCGAAGGCAGCCAUCUGGCCUAAUACUGACGCUGAGGUACGAAAGCAUGGGGAGC